AUAACAAACUAUGUCUCUUUAAUUAUUUAAAGGAUCACUUACAAUUAAAGUUUAUAAUCACAAGAAAUUAUUCAAGCCACAAAAAAACUACUGGAAGUAGAUAAAUUGAUUGAUAGUAAAAAAAGAAAUUAUUUUUUCAAACAAUAUGGAAACAAAAGUUCCAAAAUUUAAAAUCACUAGUCUUAAACAAAUCUUUCAGAAUCAUGUACAAUCUUAUUUCUGUACAUUAGAAACUGGGAAUUCCAGUUUUGGAGGUAGAAAAAAAAAAAAAAGAAAACAUUAACAUUUUUAUUUUUCUCACUUUUAAAAAAAAGCAAGAAUCUAAGUCUCCUUUAUUUAAAUUCCCACAUUAUGUGCCAUUAUUGGUGCACACAAAUUUAUAAAAAAAAACAAAUAGCUCUUAUAAUAUAUAUAUAUUAUUAUUAUCGUUAGAGAGAGUGUUUUUAAUAUACACAGACUUUAAGCUAAAUGUGUAAUUUACAAAUGUUGAAAGACUUCAGUUUUAUUUUUUUCUCAACAAAAACUUAAGUAUUAAUUUCUAAACCAUUUCUUAGUUUAUAAUUUGCAUACAUUAUUUUAGAAUUCUAUUUAUACCAGUACCGAAAACAAACAUCACAAUGUUCUCUAUAAUCCUCUAUGUCAUGUUUAAAAAGAUGCAGACAUUUGCUUUAAAGAUAUCAGUCAAGGUUUUUAAAAGUGCCCUGUUGAGGGGACAGUAUUCAAACUUAUCAAUAAAAAUAUAUAUCUAUAUCACUGGACUUGCAGAUAAGAUCUCAUUAUAUUAUAAUUCAUGGGAUAAGAUGAUGCCCUAAAUAAAUAGUUGGAGCUAGAAAAUGUAAACAGUAUCACUGUAAAAUCUGUGUAAAAUUAGAAAAUAGUUUCUUGAGUACACUUUGUAGAUGUAUAUCUAGCUUGAGACCACAGACAAAAUAGGAAUCAAAACUAAAUGCAGGUGCCAACAUUACAGGUAAUGUACUAACAUGUCUAUUUCAAAAGAAGACACCACUACCUUUGGCAGGAUAUGGCCACAUUGUUCAUGAAAUUGUAUCUCUUGAUUUGUAGAGAUCUUCAAAGCA
This is a non-coding RNA of Biomphalaria pfeifferi, 1076 nucleotides long. The record is from the annotation of a GenBank genome assembly. Lineage: Eukaryota; Metazoa; Mollusca; Gastropoda; Planorbidae.